This 245-nucleotide ribosomal RNA is filed under the name Schizochytrium aggregatum. RNAcentral's name for it is "partial Bacterial small subunit ribosomal RNA". It matches the Rfam family "Bacterial small subunit ribosomal RNA", at positions 674 to 917 of the family's 1533-position model. The record is from RNAcentral. Lineage: Eukaryota; Bigyra; Thraustochytrida; Thraustochytriidae.
UGUAGCGGUGAAAUGCGUAGAGAUUGGGAAGAACACCGGUGGCGAAAGCGCUCUGCUAGGCCGUAACUGACACUCAUGGACGAAAGCUAGGGGAGCGAAUGGGAUUAGAUACCCCAGUAGUCCUAGCCGUAAACGAUGGAUACUAGGCGUUGCUCGCAUCGACCCGAGCAGUGCCGUAGCUAACGCGUUAAGUAUCCCGCCUGGGGAGUACGCGCGCAAGCGUGAAACUCAAAGGAAUUGACGGG